This 465-nucleotide ribosomal RNA is filed under the name uncultured bacterium. RNAcentral's name for it is "bacterial SSU rRNA". It matches the Rfam family "Bacterial small subunit ribosomal RNA", at positions 29 to 514 of the family's 1533-position model. The record is from RNAcentral.
AACGAACGCUGGCGGCAGGCCUAACACAUGCAAGUCGAGCGAACCCUUCGGGGUUAGCGGCGGACGGGUGAGUAACGCGUGGGAAUAUGCCCUUUGCUACGGAAUAGCCCCGGGAAACUGGGAGUAAUACCGUAUACGCCCUUUGGGGGAAAGAUUUAUCGGCAAAGGAUUAGCCCGCGUUGGAUUAGGUAGUUGGUGGGGUAAUGGCCUACCAAGCCGACGAUCCAUAGCUGGUUUGAGAGGAUGAUCAGCCACACUGGGACUGAGACACGGCCCAGACUCCUACGGGAGGCAGCAGUGGGGAAUCUUAGACAAUGGGGGCAACCCUGAUCUAGCCAUGCCGCGUGAGUGAUGAAGGCCCUAGGGUUGUAAAGUUCUUUCGGACGGAAAGAAAUCGCCGCCUCUAACAUAGGCGGUGGAUGACGGUACCGUAAGAAGAAGCACCGGCUAACUACGUGCCAGCAG